This 960-nucleotide non-coding RNA is filed under the name Xenopus longipes (savannah clawed frog). Its description in RNAcentral is "partial 12S ribosomal RNA". It matches the Rfam family "Bacterial small subunit ribosomal RNA". Lineage: Eukaryota; Metazoa; Chordata; Amphibia; Anura; Pipidae. The record is from RNAcentral.
AACUCGAAGCCAAGGUUUGGUCCUAGCCUUACAAUCAACUUUUUCUGAACUUACACAUGCAAGCAUCCGCACUCCUGUGAAAAUGCCCUUAAGCCUCUUUAACAGGGGAUAAGGAGCUGGUAUCAGGCACUACUUUAAGCCCAUGACACCUUGCUAUGCCACACCCACAAGGGAAUUCAGCAGUGAUAAACAUUGAACAUGAGCGAGACAAAGCUCGAUUCAGUUACAGUUUAUAGAGUUGGUCAAUCUCGUGCCAGCCGCCGCGGUUAUACGAGAAACUCAAGUUGAUUAUUUUCGGCGUAAAGCGUGAUUAAGGUGACUACUAACUAGAGUCAAACUCCAACCAAGCUGUCGCACGCUUUCGUUGGUCUGAAGAACAUUCACGAAAGUAACUCUACCCCCCCCCCCCACUUGAAUUCACGACCGCUAGGAAACAAACUGGGAUUAGAUACCCCACUAUGCCUAGCCAUAAACUUUGACUAUUUACGCAAAAAUCCGCCAGGGAACUACGAGCCUAAGCUUAAAACCCAAAGGACUUGGCGGUGCUCCAAACCCACCUAGAGGAGCCUGUUCUAUAAUCGAUACCCCUCGCUAAACCUCACCACUUCUUGCCAAACCCGCCUAUAUACCACCGUCGCCAGCCCACCUCGUGAGAGACUCCUAGUAGGCUUAAUGAUUAAGCAUCAAUACGUCAGGUCAAGGUGUAGCAUAUGAAGUGGAAAGAAAUGGGCUACAUUUUCUAUUCCUUAGAAUAAACGAAAGAUCUUUAUGAAAUCAGAUCGGAAGGCGGAUUUAGCAGUAAAGAGAAACAAGAGAGUUCUCUUUAAAAUGGCCCUGGAGCGCGCACACACCGCCCGUCACCCUCUUCUACAAAUUAUAUAAUUUAAAUAAACACAUAACAAAUACUAAGAAGAGGCAAGUCGUAACAUGGUAAGCACACCGGAAGGUGUGCUUGGAACC